RNAcentral lists this ribosomal RNA (465 nucleotides) under uncultured bacterium. Its description in RNAcentral is "partial 16S ribosomal RNA". It matches the Rfam family "Bacterial small subunit ribosomal RNA", at positions 28 to 506 of the family's 1533-position model. The record is from RNAcentral.
GAUGAACGCUGGCGGCGUGCUUAACACAUGCAAGUCGAACGGAAAGGCUCCUGCUUGCAGGGGUACUCGAGUGGCGAACGGGUGAGUAACACGUGGGUGAUCUGCCCUGCACUUCGGGAUAAGCCUGGGAAACUGGGUCUAAUACCGGAUAGGACGAUGGUUUGGAUGCCAUUGUGGAAAGUUUUUUCGGUGUGGGAUGAGCUCGCGGCCUAUCAGCUUGUUGGUGGGGUAAUGGCCUACCAAGGCGUCGACGGGUAGCCGGCCUGAGAGGGUGUACGGCCACAUGGGGCCGGAGAUCCGGCCGAGCCUCCUACGGGGGGCAGGGGGGGGGAAUAUUGCACAAGGGGCGAAAGCCUGAUGCAGCGACGCCGGGGGGGGGGUGAGGGCCUUCGGGUUGAAAACCCCUUUCGCUGGGGACGAAGCGAAAGUGACGGGACCGGGAGAAGAAGCCCCGGUAAACUACGU